AACACAUGCAAGUCGAACGGUAACAUUUCUAGCUUGCUAGAAGAUGACGAGUGGCGGACGGGUGAGUAAUGCUUGGGAACUUGCCUUUGCGAGGGGGAUAACAGUUGGAAACGACUGCUAAUACCGCAUAAUGUCUUCGGACCAAACGGGGCUUCGGCUCCGGCGCAAAGAGAGGCCCAAGUGAGAUUAGCUAGUUGGUAAGGUAACGGCUUACCAAGGCGACGAUCUCUAGCUGUUCUGAGAGGAAGAUCAGCCACACUGGGACUGAGACACGGCCCAGACUCCUACGGGAGGCAGCAGUGGGGAAUAUUGCACAAUGGGGGAAACCCUGAUGCAGCCAUGCCGCGUGUGUGAAGAAGGCCUUCGGGUUGUAAAGCACUUUCAGUUGUGAGGAAAAGUUAGUAGUUAAUACCUGCUAGCCGUGACGUUAACAACAGAAGAAGCACCGGCUAACUCCGUGCCAGCAGCCGCGGUAAUACGGAGGGUGCGAGCGUUAAUCGGAAUUACUGGGCGUAAAGCGCACGCAGGCGGUUUGUUAAGCUAGAUGUGAAAGCCCCGGGCUCAACCUGGGAUGGC
This 576-nucleotide ribosomal RNA is filed under the name uncultured bacterium. RNAcentral describes it as "bacterial SSU rRNA". It matches the Rfam family "Bacterial small subunit ribosomal RNA", at positions 50 to 624 of the family's 1533-position model. The record is from RNAcentral.